CCAGAGUUGGCUUUGAUGGUGGAUCUUAGUCUGAUCUGAAAUGAACAUGAGAAAAGGAGCCCCCUUCUUUUUUGUCUCUCUCCCUACCCGCUUGCCUCUCUACCUGUCCAUUUCUAGUUUUCUCUUGACUUGGUCUUGUCUUUCUCAGCCUCUCUUUCUCUUAGUCUCUGCCUGCACCUUUGUCUCUCUCUGUUUCUGUCAGUAGGGAGCACUUUGACCUCUACAGCUCCGUUUCCAGCUCCCCGUGGAAUGUGAUCCACACAGAUCAGGGAGGGCUGUGGGAUUUAUUUCACUCGUGGGUGACUUCAUACAAGCCCCAGAACAAAUUGCUCAAUGACCACUAAGUCAGCUGGUCCCAGGAGAUGGCUUCCAGAUGGACCUAGCACUGCCUGCUCAGACCCAGCAAUUCCCAGCCCCUGUUCUUGGGAGCUCUCUGGGCCUCUCAAGUGAUUGCUUUGCUGGUGCGUUCUUGGGAACCUGCCCUCUCCCGGCAGUUUCAAGGAAUUGCUUUUUUGCAGUAAGCAUUCCCCUAAAGUGAUAUGAUCUCCUCAGGAGUAAUAUAAUCCAUCCAAGGAGACCUUGCGGAUGAUGUCUUCAUCGCCCAGACACACAUUUGUGCGACGGCCAGGUGGGGCUCAGCCACAACACUGAUCACCUGUCGCAGUACCAUGUAGCGUGGGAGCUGUUCACACAGUGUCCAAAAGGAGAAUCUAGAGGGCAGUUGAUUUUUGUAUCUUUUAUCAAUUAUUCUGUGCCUGGAUGAUAAUAAUUCACCAGUCAGGCAAACAGUUUAAAAUAAUCUUGAAUUGUGGCCCUGUUAUCUAGUGUGUACCUGAAUUCAGACACUCACCUGCCCAGACUGGAGCAUGGACCGUGUGGACUCUCUCCAGACUGCAGUCAGGGCUGGUGGUCUUGGGGGACCAGCCCCUGAGCAGUGAUGAAGCCCUUUCUUUCUGUACCUGAGUUUUCUCAUCCAAAUGAGGGUCUGCAGUGUUACUGAAGCAUCCAGGGGGCCGCUGCCCUCUAUUGUUCCACUAACUUUCAGCUUUGUGUGUGUCUCGGGGGUGAGCACCAAAGGGAACGAUUUCAGUCUUUUCUAGUUCCAGAACCUCCCAGGAUUAGUCCAGCUGUACCCACACCACGGUUGCCAACGUGGCUUUUGCAUUUGGACUGUCACCCUUUUAGUCCAUGAAAGCCUUCGUGUCAGACCUGAGCUGCUGGAAGGAAUUUCAGUGCACUUGGAUGCUAACGAGCAGGACAGGAACCCUGGCCAACCUCACUGGCCAUUAAGGUUCUUUCCACCUUGUUGGGACUCCCUGACAAUUUCAGGAGGCAGCUCAGGCAGUAACUUUUAUAUUUUGUUUUCCUUUGCAGCUGAGUCAACAAGGUCAGGGCUAUUAAAGUGUGGAAUUGGGGCUCGAUUGCCAGGUGUCUAACUUCAGCCCACAGAUCUCCACGUUAAUGUUUGACUGACUUACCUGCACACUUCGAGAUUAUGUUAGACUAGGAAAUGCUGUGGUCUCCCUGUGCUGGGGCUUCCCUCCUCAAGAACCUGGUAGAAACUGGAGCCUGACACCUGGCAGAAGCUUGGGGAAUGUGGAAGCAAGGAUUCCCAUGCAACCUCCUGCAAGGGGAGGGUAGUAAUCAUCACUCACCUCAUGGGGCAAUGAUGCCGUUUAAAUGUGAUAAUGUAGGUAAAGAUGUAUACAAUAACUUCUACCAGUUAUCCUCAUGAUGAAAGAAUGAAGGGCUGGUUUAUCCUCAGACUUGUUAGGCAAGCAGAGCAAAGACACCGGCAACUUAGGGCAAAGUUUUUCUGCUAAGGAUUGCUUUUCUGCCUCGGUGGGUUCUUCUGGCCCCCAGGUCUGAGGUCUCAGGCACUGCCAGCCUUCAGCCAUUCCACCCCUUCGUCUGUGAAACGGAGAGAGAUUUUUUUUUUUCCUUCAGCAAACUUUUCCUAUGUGAUACUUCAGGCCUAGGUAUCAGGGACGAGACACCAUCCCAAGCCUCAGCCAGCUCCUUCAGCAGCAGGAAAGGGACUCUUGACCAUAAAGUAACCGUGGGACACGGUCAGUGCUACCAAGGAGGUAUAAGCCAAGCAGGGCUGGGGACCUACACAGAGCCUCAGGGGGCCAGAACUCAGAAUUUCUCUACAAAUAUGGGCAGUUGGUAACUCAUAACAAGCAGUGACAGGUGCUUCUCUUGGUGAGCCCCUGUACCUCGGUGUCUCCCACUUCCCCUGUGGUCCUUUACGACGUCCGUGUGUCUAGAUGUUUAGGAAAGUGAGGAUCUGAGAUAAAAGGGAGACGCUGAGAUGAACAUCUCCCAUGCUGGCCUGACCCGACCCGACUGAGCCCAUCUUUCCUGGACAUGGGCUGCCUCCAUCCUUCUGUGCCAGGCCAUAGCCGGACAGAUGGCGUCAACCCGUUUUGCAGAUAAGGAAAUGAAAACACAGCGAGGACCAGGAUGUCUGGGACAGUUUUUGUGCGUGAAAGGAACUCGGACCCCGGUCAGUUUCAUGCUUUGUUUCCUGGAAGAGGAACCAGAAGGCAGAAAUUGAAUCUUACCUCAGAUCAUGGGGCCUGGGGAAAGUAGUUCCAGACUCCUGGGCAUCUUUCUGUCCAAGGGGUUCACUGUGGGUCUUUCUCUCCUAGAAUGGUCUCCUUCCGACUGCCUCUGUCACUAUGUGAAAACUGGUGUGUGAAUGGCGGCCCGUGGGCGGUGCCCAGUGACAUCAUUUGUGGACUUGCUAUUUUUUCUUCCUCCUCAAACCACCCCCAGAACCCAGAGGCAGACAGACUCAGCUGUGGCUGCUGAGGGCUUUUAAGCCCUGGGAACCUGAUUCAGGACAAGAGUUCUUAUGCCCUGCAGGCCAAUAGGUGUGCUCUGGCAUCGUGAGGACCACCUCAGCUUGGGAUGAAUCCUUAGGGCUCAGCUAGUGCACUACACAGCCACCUAGAAUUAGAAUUGAGAGUGGCAGGUGGGUUGGGUUGUGAAAUAAAAUUUACCUAAGUCUCUAUUAGUCAGGAUUAUCCAGAGAAACAGAACCAAAGGGGGUGGGGGAUGGAGACAGAUCUAUUUUAAGGAAUUGGCUCAUGCAAGUGUGGGGCUGGCAAGUCUGAAGCCUGCAGGGUGGGCUAGCAGGCUGGAGACCCCAGGGAGGAGGAGGUUUUCACCUGAGUCCACAGGCUGUCCAGAGACGAGCCCUUCUGGGUCAACACUCUCUCCUUUGAACAAC
Molecule: long non-coding RNA, 3238 nt
Filed under: Marmota monax (woodchuck)
Lineage: Eukaryota; Metazoa; Chordata; Mammalia; Rodentia; Sciuridae
Source: RNAcentral